CAAUAAGUAGUUUAAGUUAAAAUGUUAAUUUUGGAGAUUAAUGAUGGUUUUUACUCUUAUUGA
Molecule: transfer RNA, 63 nt
Filed under: Nesidiocoris tenuis
Lineage: Eukaryota; Metazoa; Arthropoda; Insecta; Hemiptera; Miridae
Description: tRNA-Pro
Source: RNAcentral